GACGACCUCAAGGAUCAUCUUGCUGCUGUGCAAACAAUCCUAAAUGAUCUUAAGGAUGUGGGAGCAAGCAUAAAGGAUGGAGGAAGGGUGACGAGCACCAACUCUGCUUCUUCUUCAUCCUCUAUAUUUGCUUCCCCAUCCUUCAGAUCAUCUAGGAUUGUUUGCACAGUAGCAAGAUGAUCU
This 183-nucleotide microRNA precursor is filed under the name Selaginella moellendorffii. Its description in RNAcentral is "miR1089 stem-loop (smo-MIR1089)". The record is from miRBase by way of RNAcentral. Lineage: Eukaryota; Viridiplantae; Streptophyta; Lycopodiopsida; Selaginellales; Selaginellaceae.